Molecule: long non-coding RNA, 2977 nt
Organism: Egretta garzetta (little egret)
Lineage: Eukaryota; Metazoa; Chordata; Aves; Pelecaniformes; Ardeidae
Exons: 4
Source: RefSeq, a predicted model, not a curated record
GGCCAACUGCAUGUCCCGGUGGUUUCCUAACUGCUAAUCUUUCUUGAAGGUCCCUUUACAAAUGCGUUAUUGAAGGUUGACCACAGAUAUUUAAAUCAGGAUUGGUAAAUGACGGGGUGCUCAGCCCAUCGCCACCUUUAACAUCUUGGCCUGAUGCUGUUUAGCAGAACUCGUCCGGGUAUCGCUCCGUGAGUUUACUCAAUACGGCUUGGAGGGGGCGAUUCGCCCUCCGUGCAGCCCAGGGUACAACACAUUCCUGAUCUGUGACCAGGUUUCCAAACCACACAGUAAAACGAAUAAUAAUGAUAGUAAAAGUUAUACAACUGGUUUUGAUAAGCAGCCUUUGCAUUGCUUUAGUGCUGGAUUUUCCAGCUGUUGUAUAUGGGGGAAAAAAAAAUGGUUUUUUUUGUAAAAACUACCAUACCCGACCGAAACAAAAAGCCCCAACAAAUUCAAGGUUUAAAGGAAAUUUUUGUAUCAAUCCUGGGUGCAACUGCAGGAAGAGUCGAGCUGGACAGAAUUAAACAUCUCAGCUGGAGCAUGGACAGGGCACCAGGCAGCUUGCUAAAAAUAGAUUAAUCCUAAUUACAGCCACACUUCUGCUUUUCCAAGGUUUCCUAUUUCACGGGGGGGCGGCGAAUGGAGCCGGGGAUCGGUGCCCGCCGCGGCAGCGGAGGGGACGGGGGCACAGGGCGCCCGUUACUGCGUAACCCCGGGGACACGGCGGCAGCGACGGGAGCGAUGGGAGUGACGGGAGUGAUGGCAGCGACGGCAGCGUCCCGCCUCGCCGGCCUUCGGCUGCCUGGCUCCAGCCCAUCAGCACAGGCUUAAUGCGGCGCCCGGCCCUGGAAAUCUGCUCUCCCCGAUUAGGAAAACCAGACUAAACCGCUGGAAAACAAGGUUUCAGGUAACGUGUGCUUUGCUGGUUCAAGAUUCAAACAUCUCCGCCUUCCUGCAGGCUUCCCGAGCCACCGGCAGCCCUGGGGGAGCUCGGUCCCGUGCCAGAGCUGCCCGGCGUGGUUAAACCUCCCCGGCGCGGUGCCGUGCGCCAGUAUGUCCCAUAGGAACUGCCAUAAAUCCCCGUUGGUUUGAUUUCCUCCUGGACAACAUUCCCGCAGAGAGCUGACUUGCUAUCUCAUAAGCAGAGUUACAAAGCGUUGAGUGUGAGAUAAACAUAUUUAAGCCUCUGCUUUCCAAACUCUGGUACUUUAUUUCUCCCACAAAGCCUAUGAAACCCAACUAUUUUCCCACCCUAAAGGAUGUAUAUGAAUUACCGGUUUAAAUAUUUAACCAGAAAAUGUUUCGCUUCAGCUAGGAGAACUUUGUUUUAGCAGAAACCAGGAGUGAAUGCCGUGUGUUUUCGUUUGGGUUCUGCAGCAGCAAUCGCUGGGUAAGCGCAAGGGCCCCUCUGCUCGAGGUGGAUCUCAGCCCGCCCGCUGCUCCUGCAGAAGCCAGCCAGCCAGCGGCUGCAAGACCUUCUUGGCCACUAAAACAGAGGAAAAAUUCAUCAAACCUCUGUCGAUAUCUUGGAUUUACAUAGCUGAGGAACGACUCUCCCGCAAGUACUGGGGGAACGGCGGGAAUUUCAUUUAAAGGGUCCGACUGAGCCUGUUCGGAUGCUUUAGAAAAAAAAUAAGUCCCGAUGAACGUCAGGACAGGGCCGGCAGCCAGGGCAGGAUCUGAAAGGCCGACAGCAUCGCGCCCAGGGCCGGCAGGUUGUGCUGCGGGGCGCUAGGCUUUUGGAUGUGCUGGCCCCCGGGGAACACCGAGGCGUAGGGCCCGGCUCCGGGGGUAAGGGGAAGAGGGUGCCUGGCUGGAAAGCGCCUUGUUAGUCUUGAGCCGGACUGUCACUCCAGGAAAUGGUAUUUUUACUUAACAGCUCAUCGGAAAAGAUUGCAUUUUACAUUUUUGAGAUUCAUUUGCCCUCUGCACCCAAGCGCAGAUCCAGGAUUUGCAGGCUUGGGGUUUGUAUUUUUAAUUAAACAAGAAAGACGCACUGCAGAGCAGCCGGUACCUUUGGGCUGGCGGGUGCUCGCCUGGGCUGCCAGAAAUUCGCCUGCACGUCCCUGCUUUGAUCUCCGCAGAAGACAGUCUCGCAGCUCCGGUCUCCCAUAUCCCAGCUGAGUUUGUCGCAGAGUUUUUGGCUGUCCGGCAGUCCCGGUUGUCAGUCCUGCUGUCACCUCCCAACUCCCCGGCGUUCCACCCUGGGCACAAGAAAAAACCUCCCGUUAAAAAUUUCACCAACCUUUGUAUGACACAGCAAUAUUUUCCAAUUGGGAAAUGAAUAAACAGGGAAAAGCUGGUUUAGACAUUCCUAAGCAGCUUGCUUAGCGUUACUGUGCCGCCAGCAGACCGCAGCCGAGAGCAGACCCCCUCCUUCACGGGAUGCACCUACAGAAAGCGCGCCGAAGCUCAGCCGUAUGAAGAGGUUAAUGGGGUGAACACCAUUUGUUUGCCCUGCACUGGACACAAGCCUCUGCUUUUGAGCUCCGUUCCCACGCUGCCACUUUUCCUUCCUCGGGGCUGGACCGUCUAACGGAGGGAUGCAACGCUCCAAAAGCCAAGGUAUUCCCAGCAGGCCCAUGGCCUCCUCUUCCCAGAUACCUGUGCCCGCACAGUUUCUCUCUUUGGGAGGCAGCAGUAGCGGCGGUAGCACGCCGAAAUCCGCCUGGCAGGACCGGCCUCCUCAGGCUUUAGCAUGGCCAUCCCGUGCUGCAGGUUCCCGUGAAAGAGAAAUAGCAGCAUCCCAGAGCGAUGUCAUGGAGCUUCCAAAACUACCAGCUUCAUUUGUCCCUUUGUUUGCCUGGGAGGUUUUCACCAAGUCCUGAAGAUGAUCAUGUCCUGGGGACGCUCAGAACGCUGCAUCCCUGGCUGGUCCAUCAGAGUCUGUGUCGGCUCCAGCCCUCCGGUCCGGCUGAAGGUACCCGCUUCGCCUCCAAGAUGCAACCGCAGUCCAGAGGUGAGGAAUAAGAAAUGA